This 1315-nucleotide long non-coding RNA is filed under the name Olea europaea subsp. europaea. Lineage: Eukaryota; Viridiplantae; Streptophyta; Magnoliopsida; Lamiales; Oleaceae. The record is from RNAcentral.
UGAAAACACUGUCUGUUUCUAAGCAUAAACAUUUUUUUUGGGUGCUCUUAUCUUGAAACCAACUUAGUUAAGAGCUUCAGUUUGAAGAGCAUUAACAGCAGCAGUUUUAUUCAUUUUCAUUGCUACUGUUAAUGCUCUUCAUUUAUUCAUUUUGGGCGUCUCUUUGUUCUUUGUUGCUGUUAAUGCUCUUCAUCGUGGAAUUGGCAAUGGGGCGAUCUUUCUUUAGUUAGAGCUUCAGUUUUAUUCAUUUUUAUUGAAUGAACUUUUGAGAACUUCAAAAUUGAUUGUACCAACAAGGUUGACAUCUUCUCUAUUUCCAGAGUGUACUAUAUACUAAAUUUAUUGCGAGAUUCUUAAAAAACUGUUUAGAUAGGACAAUGAACUAUUUCAAUAUUGAAUGGCAAAACUUAAAUAAAUAAAACUGCUUCUAUGUAGUAGUCUAAUUACAAAGUUUUGUGGCAGUCACUAAUUACAAAGUUUUGAUGGCUUUAGUCCAGAAUUAGCGCUUGCGAUAAUUGGAGGAGAGAAUGAGCUUGAAGAAAAGCUUGUGGUAUAUCAACUUUCUCUAUAUAUUUUUUACCAUCCUUUUUUUCAUUAUAUGCUAGUCAAAUUCUUGAAUACAACCUCAAUUUCCAUUUUGAUCGUUGCACUUCUUGAGGUUCUGGCAGGUUAGGCCUACAAGUGAAACAAUCGUGAACCAUAUGUUUACUCAAUGGAUUCAUAGUUACCGUGAUCAACCAAGUGUCUCUUCAUCACAUCAUUUCUCGUUUUCUUCACUUGGAGGAGUAUUACUUGACAAUAAGAAAUUCAAACAAAUUAGCAAAGAGUUAACAAAAUGUCUUAAAAGGUUUCAAAGAACGUACUUUUUUGCGCCAUCUGGGUUCUUAUCCAACUCAUUCGCCCAAUCAUACGACUUGAUAUGCAUGGUCCCGAAGAGAAAUUUGCUGAAAACCGUCAUUCCCAGACGAUUAUGAAGAGGAAUGACACUUGAAGGUGGCAAGCAAAAAAUUCCAAUUUGCAAUAGUUGCAAUCAGCAAAGCAAAUGAGGCAUGAAGUAGUGUAUGAGGAUGCAAAGUAUACAUACUGAGAAUUUUCCACACACAUGAAGAUGCAAAUAGGUUAUCACGGGAGCUCUUUUAUCGUUAAAAAAAUAGCAUAUUUGGCUUCAGGCCGACGUCUGCUAGAGUCAUCUUAUCUGCGAGAUUAAGUAUAUUUUUAGCUUAGUCGUAGGACUCGAAAUUGAAAUAAAAUAGCAGUUUAUAAAUCUGUGUGCAUAUAAGAAUUUAUUCUGCUUGAAGCCCAUGUUAGCCGUCAG